CGUUAUUAGCCGAGCGACGAUAUAAGUGAAGGUCCGGUGAUGGCUCGCUGCAGUACCGGGUCGCCUCCUGCACUGACCCUCCGCGCGUCUCUCCUUCCAUUUUUGGGGAAUAUUUUCUUUCUUCUUUUCGUUCUUUUUUUUCUUUCUUUUCCUCUCCUUUUUUUUUCUUCCCAAUCCACCUACGACAACUAUCGGAAAAUCAUUCUCUGUCUCGAUUAAAAAAAAAAAAAAAAAAAAAUACUGAUUAACUUUUGGAUCAUCUUCGACAGAUAGAGAGAAACAGAAACCCGGAGAGAGAGAGAGAGAGAGAGAGAGAGAGCAAGGGAGAGAGACAUACUCAUCAGUCAGAUCUUCCUUCAAAGAUCAUCAUACUUGUGAGCAACUUCGUGCAUUUCGCGCCAACUCGAAAUCAGCCGAACAUGGCCGAAGGUAUCUACAUUACAAGGAACGGAUAUAUGUGUAUGUACGACCGGGCUAUAGUAUAACUAUGUACCCGCAGUGCGCACACUGUUAGGAUCGACCAAUUGAGCCUGUUAACGUCAAUUGAUCUAAAUUGCUUCAAUUGGACAUAAUUGCGCGAAGGCGACGGGGAACCUCCGCUGUUACUACUCACCAACCAUAUCCACGUUUAUCUCUGCACGCAAAUAUCUUUUCGUCUCGAAUUUUAACGUAUCUAUGUAUAUAUUUCUUUCUCUUUCUCUUAUAUACCAGACGGAGAACAUUAUAUACCUACAGUUUUUUUCCUACUCUUCUCUAUGACCUUUUUCUUCUUUUCUUUCUUUCUUCCUUUUUUCCUUUUCUUAUUUUCUUCUUUAUUUUAUAUUUCUUUAUUUUUUUCCUAUUUCUUUCUUUCUUUUUUUCCUCCCUCCCCCCUACCCCCGUAACCCGACCCAACCUCCCUCUAAAUUUACAAUACAAUAUUAUUGGAUCGUUGAGAGGAUGAUUAAGAAAAAGGAUUAUUAUUGGCAAAAGUUAUCAUUUUAUUUCUUUCCAUGUUAUAAAAAUAAGAAGACGAGGAUCAGAAGAAGAUGGAGAAGAAGAUGGAGAAAGAGAAGAAAGAGGAGGAAGAGAAGAAGGGGAAAAAAAAAAAAAGAAAGAAAGAAAACGAUACGAGAAUACGUAAGACAAAAUGUUAUUAUAUUCUGUUAAUGUUUAAGAUGAUAAAAGAUUUAGGACUUAAGUUCUUUUUUUUUUUUUUCUCUCUACCACGAAUCAAUUUAGAAUUAUGAAAAUUUAACUUACGUCAUAUCGUUAUAGAUAAGUCAAUAUUAAUAUCGCAAUCCUACGAUGAUAUUAAUGUAUCCGAAUUAUAUAUUAAGAAUAUUAAAUAGAUUUACCUUUCCUUGGUUUUUUUUUUCUUUCUUUCUUUCUUUCUUUUUUUUCUUUUUUUUUUUUUUUUACAAUCCGAGAAGAUCCACCCACUCGUUAUCGCUCGUUCAUUAUCUCGAUAUGAAAUUUGGAGAAAUUUUAUAUAUUAUAUUAUCACGAUACAAUAGGGAAUCACAUUUUUAUUGUUAGAGUGGUAGAAACUUUAAAACGUGUCGCAGCAUCACGAUGACGUCGUAUCCUGAUUAAAGAACAGACUGGUUCAUAUCCGGCUCACGUUCAUCAGUAUUCACACAGUCUCAUACUUUCUCGAGAUUAAUUCUAUUUCUUUAUCAAUCUUUUUCUUCUUCUUCUUUUUCCUUUUUCUUUUUUCUUUUUUUUUUUUUUUUUCAUUUUCUCUCUCCCCCUUUCCCUCAACUUUUUUUCGUAUUUCGUAAUUAUCGCCAUUUUCUUUCUAUAUCUUCUUCUUCUUCUUCUUUUUUUUUUUUUUCUUUUUCUUUUUCUUUUUUGUUCAUACGUUAUUCAUUGCGAAGUUAUUUCAGAUAUACUUGUUAGAACUAUUUGGACCCACAUAUUUCGUGAGAACUACAUUCUAUUCUUUUCUCUCUUUCUCUGUCUCUUUGGUAUGAAUUUCGGUUUCUCAUGAUAUUUUCUGAUUGGUUGAGGGUGAUACACUGACUACGAUCCCGCAUAUAAGACUUCGUAUACCUUUUACGUUUCUAAUAUAAUAUAACUGCGGGUGGGAAUUUACGAGAGUAUAUCUUUCAAUCUCUUUGAUUACAUGAUCUUUUUCUAUGUAUAUAUAUAUAUAUAUAUAUAUAUAUAUAUAUAUAUAUAUAUGUAUGUAUGUAUGUGUGUGUGUCAAUUUUUCUUUUUCAUGAAAAAAAAAAAGUUAGAAAAAUAGGCCCAUAUUAUAGGGUGUCUAAGAAAAAAAAAAAAAAAAAAGUAAGAUGGGUGCUGGGUAAUCCUUCAUCCGAAUCAUUUUACAUGAGACAUGAUCUGUCCAUUGAAUAGUAUCUACUCUGCAAUAAGGAUAUGUAUCCAAGUUUAUUACGUUAAUCAAUUAAUAUGAUUUUUAUGUUAUAGUA
Vespa crabro (European hornet) is the source of this 2414-nucleotide long non-coding RNA. RefSeq lists it as uncharacterized. The record is from RefSeq and is a predicted model, not a curated record. The transcript is spliced from 2 exons. NCBI's taxonomy places the organism in Eukaryota, Metazoa, Arthropoda, Insecta, Hymenoptera, Vespidae.